ACCCAGACUCCUACGGGAGGCAGCAGUAGGGAAUCUUUCACAAUGGGCGAAAGCCUGAUGGAGCAACGCCGCGUGCAGGAUGAAGGCCUUCGGGUUGUAAACUGCUUUUAUAAGCGAGAAAUAUGAUGGUAACUUAUGAAUAAGGAUCGGCUAACUACGUGCCAGCAGCCGCGGUAAUACGUAGGGGGCAAGCGUUGUCCGGAAUGACUGGGCGUAAAGGGAGUGUAGGCGGCUUAUCAAGUUAGAUGUGAAAUCCCGCGGCUUAACCGCGGAACUGCAUCUAAAACUGGUGAGCUGGAGUGCAGGAGAGGUGAGUGGAAUUCCUAGUGUAGCGGUGGAAUGCGUAGAUAUUAGGAGGAACACCAGAGGCGAAGGCGACUCACUGGACUGUAACUGACGCUGAGGCUCGAAAGCGUGGGGAGCAAACAGGAUUAGAUACCCCGGUA
This 446-nucleotide ribosomal RNA is filed under the name uncultured bacterium. RNAcentral describes it as "partial 16S ribosomal RNA". It matches the Rfam family "Bacterial small subunit ribosomal RNA", at positions 329 to 792 of the family's 1533-position model. The record is from RNAcentral.